RNAcentral lists this long non-coding RNA (2510 nucleotides) under Hordeum vulgare. Its description in RNAcentral is "long non-coding RNA (HVUL_LNC003139)". The stretch from base 1677 to 1800 matches the Rfam family "MIR1120/MIR1122 microRNA precursor family". Lineage: Eukaryota; Viridiplantae; Streptophyta; Magnoliopsida; Poales; Poaceae. The record is from RNAcentral.
ACCAACUGUAUUUCGUAUUAACAAAAAAUGUACACACAACACUUGACAAUACCAUUAUCACUAGGUGGCUCAGGUUGUUUGCUAGAUUAGUAAGCAUUGAUUAACUUUCUGUGUACCCCAGCGCUACUAAAUUAGUAUCAUCUUCAUUUUCCUAGGUUCCUUUUAAAUGCACCACCCAGAUGGCCACAUCUCUGGACUAUAAAACAACGUAUUGACCUACCACCACACGCAAAACCAGGCUAAAAUCCAUUUUAACACAACUUCUAAAUUCUACAGUAGGAUCAUUCAUUCCUACUCAAAUAGAAAAGUUGGCCAAAAUCUCAUCCAAUGCAACAACCUGUAAUUUUAAUGUCAUUAGUGGAUUCCAACAAAGCAACAAGUGAUUAUAUUGAAUAAUAUAAAGGGAGUGGUCAGGAAUUUUAAAUUUAUUACUGCAUUUCAAUUGAGCAUCAAGCAUUCAAGCAAUGAAAGUAUAAUAAGAUAAAGAAUGGCCACUCUAUUUCAUACCAACUAAAAAUGUACGGAAGCGCACUCAUUGAUACAACUAUUGUCAGCCGGAUCAGUUUUUUUUUGCACCAUAACUUAUCAAUUUCCGAGGAUAGUAAGCAUCAAUGGAUUUCCUAUGUGACCAGGUGCUCCUUAAAGCCAUUUUUCCUUAUAACUGGUGAAUUAUUCUUCACUAAAUUAAAAGGCAGAGCUCCUACUGGUUGCCCCUUUUUCCCAUUUUAGUGUAAGGAUUCCCUAUUUCACAGCAGAAUCCAUUUUAAUAGUAGGUAAGCAUAUUUUCUACAAAUAAUCAAAUAUAUUCAUUCCUAUGAUACCUUCAAGCAUUGCAUAUCCAACCAAGAAUGAUGGUGAAUGGAAGAAGAAGAAAAAAAAUCGCAGCAUAACUUAUCAUUUUCCUAGGUUAAUAAGCAUCAAUGUACUUCCUAUGUGCUCAGGUGUUCCCUAAAUCCUGACCUAUAUCCCCCUUUCCGGACUCUUUUGAGAUUCAUGUGCACCAAACUGACAAAUUGCAACUAACAUAUGGACAGUAACAAAUCACAGGAUACCACAAAAAUACAAAAGAAUUAUCCAGACAAUCUUCUGACGAGCUUUCACCACAACAAGCCAGCCUGACCACCUAGUUACCACUGCAGUAAACGGGAUCACAAUCCCUAAAUGACAGAAGCUAAAGCCAAUUUUCUUUUUAGCUGGUCAAUUAUUCUCCGACUCAAUUAAGACAAAGCACUAACCAGUUGCCAGAAAAUAAUAAUCCAUUUAGCAUAGAAAUUCCCUGUUAUCUGCAGAAUCCAUUUUAAUACUCCCUCCGUCCCGAAAUAAGUUGUACUAAUCAGCGACACUUAUUUUGCGACAGAGGGAGUAGAGAUUUAGCAUAUUUCCCACAGAUAAUCAGAUAAAUUCAAUCCUAUGAUACCUUCAAGUGUUGCAUAUCACACCAAGCACGAUGACAAGUGGAAGUAAGAAGAAUAACCAACUUUAUUUCAUACUAACUCAAAAUGUGUAGAUGCGCACUUGCCAAAUACUGCCUCUGUUCCAAAAUACCUUGCACAUUAGGUUUCGUUAGGACAAGUCUUUGCAUUACACUAAGCAUGUAAAUUUUGUGAUAGAAAAUCAUAAGCACAGAUAAGUAUUUUAGAAUAUGAAUCUAAUGGCAUGAAUUCUAUGUCACAAAAGAUAUACUCCCUCCGUCCAGAAAUACUUGUCCUAUAAAUGCAUGUAUCUAGACUUAUUUUAGUUAUAGAUACAUCCAUUUUAAUCAUUUCUAGGACAAGUAUUUUCGGACGGAGGGAGUAUAUGAAUAGAGUAAUUGUUGGUCAAAAGCUUGUCCUAACAAAACCUAACAGACAACGUAUUUGGGAUCAGAGGGAGUACCACUAUCAUCAACUCAUUAUGUGGAUCAAGUUACUGGGCAGCAUAACUUAUUUAUCUCCUGGGCUUGUAAGCAUUGAUGAAUUUACGUGUGAUCAAGUGCUGCCUAAAUUAGCAGCCUAACUUCAUUUUACCAGAUUCUCUACAUGUGCACUAAUAUUCACACCGCAUCUAGGCCGUAACAGCUUCACACCAGGUAACUAUCGAUAAAUAAGUUCUCUAGACACCUCUUUAGAUAGACUUACGCCACUGCUAGCAAGCGUGAGGCAAAAGAAAAUCACACUACUCAAUCUAGAGAUACCAAAAUCCAUUUUAACAGAACAGUUCCCCAAUUCCAGAGUUUUACCGAAAUGGCCACCAAAUUUUGACCCUGUGAUAACAAAACGAGUAAAAUCAUAUCAUGAAUUCCUCACUACCGUGCAGCAAGGCACCCCAUUUAUUACACCAAGGCCAGACAUUGCCCACACCAAGUGCAGCUCACUCACGGGAGAUUAGAUAGAGAAAGUUAAAAGGAAAGAUGCAACACUUGCGGCAGAGAAACGGGGAGAAACGAUGACGCAUCCUACCACUACAGCUUGUACUNNNNNNNNNNNNNNNNNNNNNNNNNNNNNNNNNNNNNNNNNNNNNNNNNNNNNNNN